RNAcentral lists this unclassified non-coding RNA (393 nucleotides) under uncultured Glomus. RNAcentral describes it as "SSU rRNA". It matches the Rfam family "Eukaryotic small subunit ribosomal RNA", at positions 569 to 969 of the family's 1831-position model. Lineage: Eukaryota; Fungi; Glomeromycota; Glomeromycetes; Glomerales; Glomeraceae. The record is from RNAcentral.
AGCAGCCGCGGUAAUUCCAGCUCCAAUAGCGUAUAUUAAAGUUGUUGCAGUUAAAAGCUCGUAGUUGAAUUUCGGGGUUAGCAGGUCGGUCGUGCCAUCGGUAUGAACUGGUCUCGCUGAUCCCUCCCUCUUGAAGAACUGUGAUGCCAUUAAUUUGGUGUCGCAGGGAAUCAGGACUGUUACUUUGAAAAAUUGAGUGUUUAAAGCAGGCUCGCGCUUGAAUACAUUAGCAUGGAAUAAUGAAAUAGGACGUUUGAUCCUAUUUUGUUGGUUUCUAGGAUUGACGUAAUGAUUAAUAGGGAUAGUUGGGGGCAUUAGUAUUCAAUUGUCAGAGGUGAAAUUCUUGGAUUUAUUGAAGACUAACUACUGCGAAAGCAUUUGCCAAGGAUGUUU